AACUGCACGGGGUGGGCAAUGUUAGGUGCGCUGAAGUAGCGAUGUGUCUCUUUGGGGCUUUGCAGUUAGAGUCAUGAACAACCCCUGUUUGGGUCUUGCAGGUGGUGGUCGAGCUUGAACAUGGCAGUUGGAUCUGAUGGCGUCCAGGUAGGUGAGCUGGUGAGGAAAAGGUGCGAGUCUUAAACGGGGAUUGGUGUGGGUAGCUUGUCAGUUCUGCAGCCUCUCAGCAGGUGCCUUUCUGCUUGGAUUUUUGCAGGUGCCGCAAUCAGCCUUCAGAGGGGAGACGACGCAUGGCUACGAGGGGUCUCAGAAGAUGGUGUGCGGCUGCCCUUGGGACUGGAUGUGCGUUUGAGGGGCCACAAGGGAGGACAACAGUGUGAGUUGGGCACGGCCACAGAGCAAGUGAGCAGAGCAGCUGGGCGCAUCUGAGGUAGACGGAUGCAGCGGCCUAGGUCUUUGUAGAGCGAUGGGAUGCUGACUGACAGGGCUGUUGUGUGGGGCUUGUGAUUGUUUUUGUUUUUCAGAUGACGAAGAGGCAGCUGGUGACUGGAGGAGUGACGUGUGCUUGUCCUUCAGAAGGAAGGGAAGAGGGAGACUCUCGGCCCCUUGAAAGCUAAGUUGAGGCAACGGUGCUGGG
Non-coding RNA from Phalacrocorax carbo (great cormorant), 637 nucleotides. The record is from RefSeq and is a predicted model, not a curated record. Lineage: Eukaryota; Metazoa; Chordata; Aves; Suliformes; Phalacrocoracidae.